Molecule: ribosomal RNA, 253 nt
Filed under: uncultured bacterium
Lineage: Bacteria
Also listed under: 2 other names
Description: partial 16S ribosomal RNA
Rfam family: Bacterial small subunit ribosomal RNA
Source: RNAcentral
UACGAAGGUCCCAAGCGUUGUUCGGAAUCACUGGGCGUAAAGGGUGCGUAGGCGGUUUGGUAAGUCAGAUGUGAAAUCCCGGGGCUCAACCCCGGAACUGCAUCCGAUACUGCCAGACUAGAGGACUGGAGAGGUGACUGGAAUUCUCGGUGUAGCAGUGAAAUGCGUAGAGAUCGAGAGGAACACUCGUGGCGAAGGCGAGUCACUGGACAGUAUCUGACGCUGAGGCACGAAGGCCAGGGUAGCGAAAGGG